CUCCCUUUGGGCUGGACUUUGGGCUAUUUCACUUUGCGAACCUGUUACAUGCACAAAAAAGGUGGGCCUCACAGAAUGACCCAGGACAAUUCACACAAGACUUGAGCGCCUUUAACUUCCUCCCGAUACAGGCAUCACAGGGAACCUCCCCAGCCUGGGCAAACUCCCCGGUGUCGGGCCCUGGAGAGCCCCCAAAGCCUGUAUCUGAGCUCAGAUUCAGUGUGGAUCCCCUGGUAGCAGCCCCGGCUCCCACAGCUCCUCCAGCUCCUCCAGCUCCUCCGGCCAGCAUCAGCCCCUGGAACUGUGAGGAGAUCUCAGCCAGGACCCUGUUGACACUCAUCUCAGGUUUUCUGGAGUACCUCUUCUUGCACAUGGGGCAGAUGAACUUCUUACUGUGGUUCCAGUAGCCCUGUAGGCAGGCCUUGCAGAAACUGUGGCCGCAGGGUGUGGAGACGGGCUCCACAAACACCUCUAGACAAAUGGAGCAGCUAAACUGCUCUUCAGAGAGGGCCCGGCAUCUCGGAGAGCUUCCGUCUGGCAGAAAGAUGCAGGAAAUGAGAGAGACAUAGAGACAUGAUAUAGAUUAGAGUCUUACGGUAUGUUUCCAGAUUGGCAAAUACUGAAAUGGAGAAAUACUAAAACUUGACUACUGAAUUUGUUCGGCUUCUGACUUGUUUCGCUGCCUUCUCAGGUCCUUUACAACUUUAUGUCACAAAUGAGUUUCUAAGAUCACAGUUAUGUCAGAGACGUGAACUGAAGCGUGAAUCACUGUGAAACUGCCUGAGAAGGGAUUUCAGGACAGAAGUCUAGCAGUUGCACUAGCAGAUUUAGGAAAACAUGAUUUAAUACUUGACUAAAGAAAUGUUGUUUUCUGCAUGCUUUAUCUGACAGUAAGUCAUGCUGUAUGUGCUGAUAUUGAGCGAAAUUAUGGACGAUUAUGUACCUGUGUUGCCCUCUGUCUAACUACAGGGUCAAAGGUCCGUGUGUGUGCAGCUAUAAUCUGGUAUUGUUCCUUUGGCACUUGAGUUAGAUCAUACAGAGUCACAGAGGAGAAGUGUAAUGAGGUCAUUUUGUAUCAUGACCUGUAAAAUCUUCAAAAUCCAGAUGUGGUUUGGUUCAAUUUUUAAAGUGAGAAUAUAAUUUACAUUCAAAUGCUUUAAUUUAAUGGAACAAAGGAAUGCACUGUAACAUAA
Molecule: long non-coding RNA, 1193 nt
Organism: Micropterus dolomieu (smallmouth bass)
Lineage: Eukaryota; Metazoa; Chordata; Actinopteri; Centrarchiformes; Centrarchidae
Exons: 2
Source: RefSeq, a predicted model, not a curated record